Molecule: ribosomal RNA, 524 nt
Filed under: Philophthalmus sp. cercaria_morphotype_3-06
Lineage: Eukaryota; Metazoa; Platyhelminthes; Trematoda; Plagiorchiida; Philophthalmidae
Also listed under: 1 other name
Description: partial large subunit ribosomal RNA
Rfam family: Eukaryotic large subunit ribosomal RNA
Source: RNAcentral
UCCGAUAGCGAACAAGUACCGUGAGGGAAAGUUGAAAAGUACUUUGAAGAGAGAGUAAACAGUACGUGAAACCGCUCAGAGGUAAACGGGUGGAGUUGAACUGCAAGCUCUGAGGAUUAAGCUGGUGAGUAUGGCAUGAGCUGGGUCAUGUUGGUUGUGAGUCUGGGUCUGCUUAGCUGCAGGUUCUCGCCUUCUGGUGGGAAUGCGCGUUGCACUUAUCAAGUGUUGUGCGCCCAGUCUCCUUCGAACCUGCUCGCCAGUGCACUUUCUCAGAGUGUUCACCACGACCGACGUCGCCGCCUGGCUGUUGUGGUUAAACCGGCCGCGUAGGGUCUUUGUGACUUUGCGCGGUUCGGGAUGGCAGGUAACCUGUUGUGCACUUUUGUGCCUCCAGGUGUAAUAGCUGACUGCAUCGGUUCUGUGCGGUACGUCGGAGACGGCGGCUUGUUGUGUGUGCAGGCGUGCUGUUGUGCUGACAGCUUCGAGUCUGGUUGCCUUGUUGCUUGUGAACGCAGGCCGGGUGA